RNAcentral lists this ribosomal RNA (426 nucleotides) under uncultured bacterium. Its description in RNAcentral is "bacterial SSU rRNA". It matches the Rfam family "Bacterial small subunit ribosomal RNA", at positions 355 to 773 of the family's 1533-position model. The record is from RNAcentral.
CAGGGAAUAUUGGACAAUGGGGGCAACCCUGAUCCAGCCAUGCCGCGUGGGUGAAGAAGGCCCUCGGGUUGUAAAGCUCUUUUGUCCGGAAAGAAAAGCUUCGGGUUAAUACCCCGGGGUUCUGACGGUACCGGAAGAAUAAGCGCCGGCUAACUUCGUGCCAGCAGCCGCGGUAAUACGAAGGGUGCAAGCGUUACUCGGAAUUACUGGGCGUAAAGCGUGCGUAGGUGGUUGUUUAAGUCUGAUGUGAAAGCCCUGGGCUCAACCUGGGAAUGGCAUUUGAAACUGGGCAGCUAGAGUGCGGUAGAGGGUAGUGGAAUUCCCGGUGGAGCAGUGAAAUGCGUAGAGAUCGGGAGGAACAUCUGUGGCGAAGGCGACUGCCUGGACCAGCACUGACACUGAGGCACGAAAGCGUGGGGAGCAAAC